RNAcentral lists this ribosomal RNA (1492 nucleotides) under metagenome. RNAcentral's name for it is "bacterial SSU rRNA". It matches the Rfam family "Bacterial small subunit ribosomal RNA". The record is from RNAcentral.
AGAGUUUGAUCCUGGCUCAGAUUGAACGCUGGCGGCAUGCCUUACACAUGCAAGUCGAACGGUAACGCGGGGGCAACCCUGGCGACGAGUGGCGAACGGGUGAGUAAUACAUCGGAACAUAUCCAGUAGCGGGGGAUAACCUAUCGAAAGAUGGACUAAUACCGCAUACGAUCUACGGAUGAAAGCAGGGGACCGCAAGGCCUUGCACUAUUGGAGUGGCCGAUGUCGGAUUAGCUAGUUGGUGAGGUAAAGGCUUACCAAGGCGACGAUCCGUAGCUGGUCUGAGAGGACGAUCAGCCACACUGGAACUGAGACACGGUCCAGACUCCUACGGGAGGCAGCAGUGGGAAUUUUGGACAAUGGGCGCAAGCCUGAUCCAGCCAUGCCGCGUGAGUGAAGAAGGCCUUCGGGUUGUAAAGCUCUUUCGGUGAAGACGAAACGGUUAGCGCUAAUAACGCUGACUAAUGACGGUACUCACAGAAGAAGCACCGGCUAACUACGUGCCAGCAGCCGCGGUAAUACGUAGGGUGCAGGCGUUAAUCGGAAUUACUGGGCGUAAAGCGUGCGCAGGCGGUUUGCUAAGACAGGUGUGAAAUCCCCGAGCUUAACUUGGGAAUUGCGCUUGUAACUGGCAAGCUAGAGUGUGGCAGAGGGGGGUGGAAUUCCACGUGUAGCAGUGAAAUGCGUAGAUAUGUGGAGGAACACCGAUGGCGAAGGCAGCCCCCUGGGUUAACACUGACGCUCAUGCACGAAAGCGUGGGGAGCAAACAGGAUUAGAUACCCUGGUAGUCCACGCCCUAAACUAUGUCAACUAGUUGUCGGGGAAGAAAUUCCUUGGUAACGAAGCUAACGCGUGAAGUUGACCGCCUGGGGAGUACGGCCGCAAGGUUAAAACUCAAAGGAAUUGACGGGGACCCGCACAAGCGGUGGAUUAUGUGGAUUAAUUCGAUGCAACGCGAAAAACCUUACCUACCCUUGACAUGCUAGGAAGCCCGCAGAGAUGUGGGUGUGCCCGAAAGGGAACCUAGACACAGGUGCUGCAUGGCUGUCGUCAGCUCGUGUCGUGAGAUGUUGGGUUAAGUCCCGCAACGAGCGCAACCCUUGCCAUUAGUUGCUACAUUCAGUUGGGCACUCUAAUGGGACCGCCGGUGACAAACCGGAGGAAGGUGGGGAUGACGUCAAGUCCUCAUGGCCCUUAUGGGUAGGGCUUCACACGUAAUACAAUGGUCGGUACAGAGGGCUGCCAACCCGCAAGGGGGAGCUAAUCCCAGAAAGCCGAUCGUAGUCCGGAUUGUAGUCUGCAACUCGACUGCAUGAAGCCGGAAUCGCUAGUAAUCGCGGAUCAGCAUGUCGCGGUGAAUACGUUCCCGGGUCUUGUACACACCGCCCGUCACACCAUGGGAGUGGGUUCCACCAGAAGUAGUUAGCCUAACCGCAAGGAGGGCGAUUACCACGGUGAGAUUCAUGACUGGGGUGAAGUCGUAACAAGGUA